CCAAAUUAUAUGUGACGUACUCAGGUGAUUGUAGUUUACAACAAGAAAAGGUUAAAGGACGCUGCUGGCGGCGUUCGCUUUAAUCUUUAUCAGGAACAAAACCAGGUUCAGGGCAUUUGGUGAUCUUUUUAUUACAAGAAAAGUGUGGACAGUGCGUCUUGAUGGUAAAAAGUUCUAGAAGCUCCACAAUCUACUCCCAAAAAUGUAGAAUACAUUCCAUUUGCUGCAGUACAAAAUUAGAUCAGAAUGGCUCAACUAACAAAAAGCAAUAUUGCCAGAAACAAUAACAAGCCAGAAGAAGCUUCUCUCACAGAGACGGAUAUAAGAACUGCUGGUAAGAUUGGUCGUCAGCUGGCAGAGAUAGGAGAUGAAAUUAAUCAGCAUUACAAUGAAACUUUCCAAAGUAUUCCGCUGCACAGGACACGUACCACUACAUGUGUACAUGGGUCGUCCAGCAUCAUUGCACAAUGGUAAGCAGUUGAACUGGUUCCAGAUUCAAAUUUAUCCUGAAUAUCCAUGCCCAGCAGCUCAUGUUACUUAACAAUAGCUGUAUUAAA
This is a long non-coding RNA of Polyodon spathula (Mississippi paddlefish), 557 nucleotides long. RefSeq lists it as uncharacterized. The transcript is spliced from 6 exons. Lineage: Eukaryota; Metazoa; Chordata; Actinopteri; Acipenseriformes; Polyodontidae. The record is from RefSeq and is a predicted model, not a curated record.